GGCUCUGUGGUGUAGUGGUAAGGAGCAGGGCUUAUAUCCGAAAGGUUGCUGGUUCGAUUCCCCCCUGGGGCA
Non-coding RNA from Megalops atlanticus (tarpon), 72 nucleotides. NCBI's taxonomy places the organism in Eukaryota, Metazoa, Chordata, Actinopteri, Elopiformes, Megalopidae. The record is from the annotation of a GenBank genome assembly.